CAGAGACUUUCCGAUUUCAGACCCUGCUCUGUUCUCGCCUGCUUCUUCAAUACCCAAAACCUCAUAACACAUCUCCAACGAACCAUGAAACAAAAGGUGGUGAUCAAGGUUUCCCUGAAUGGCCCCAAGUCCCGCUCUAAAGCCUUGAAGAUUGCAGUCAGCUUUUCAGGUGUGGAAUCAGCAGCUCUAGGAGCGCAAGAUAAGAGCCAGAUAGAGGUGGUAGGGGAUAU
Molecule: unclassified non-coding RNA, 230 nt
Filed under: Hevea brasiliensis (rubber tree)
Lineage: Eukaryota; Viridiplantae; Streptophyta; Magnoliopsida; Malpighiales; Euphorbiaceae
Source: RNAcentral